GACGACGAGGACAACGACGAGGACAACGACGACGACGACGAUGAUGAUGGAAGUAAUCUACUACAAUUAUAUAACUCGCGUUAGUAUCUCCUCUCUUUCAUCUUCUUUUUUCUUUCUUCUUCUAUUUCUCUCGUUUCAUUCCUACGAACGUUGGUUGCUGACUCCUCUCCCGUACCCCCAUGAAGAGGAUUCAACGCAAGAAUAUUAGCUAUACUUCUAUAAUGAUAAAUACAUACUUCAUAAACAAAACCAAAAUGCAAUAUCGUCAAACGUAUGAGACAUAUACGGACCACAUGGCCUGAAUGCAUCGGACAAUCUGUACAAUGUUGUUACAUUGACUGUAAUAUAUAUAAAUAUAAUAUUUGUGCACGCAUA
This is a long non-coding RNA of Polistes dominula (European paper wasp), 375 nucleotides long. NCBI's taxonomy places the organism in Eukaryota, Metazoa, Arthropoda, Insecta, Hymenoptera, Vespidae. The record is from RefSeq and is a predicted model, not a curated record.